Molecule: long non-coding RNA, 379 nt
Filed under: Physcomitrium patens
Lineage: Eukaryota; Viridiplantae; Streptophyta; Bryopsida; Funariales; Funariaceae
Description: long non-coding RNA (PPAT_LNC011234)
Source: RNAcentral
AGAUUAUGAUUGUUGUUUAUUGAGAGUUGUAUGUGUGUUCUGAUAGAAGAAGUUUGUGAUUAUAGAAAUUAUGUGAAUCCAGAUUCGUUGGAGUGAAGUCUGUCAUUUUUGGUGUUGGAUGGAGAUUAUUAUGUUUUGAGUAGUCUUUUAAGAGUGUAGAGUUACACAUUGUGGUUAUCAGUUGAUGAAGGAGUAUUGUUAUUGGAAGAAAGUAUUAUAGUAUUUUUUGGUAUUUUAGUGGCUUGGAUUACGGUUAAUUGAGUGACCCUAACUUGUAAGCUCAUGCGCUAGUCUUUUCCUCAAUUCGAAUAGCCUUCUACAAGUUUAUUCUGAAAGAAAUUUGUAGAAUAAAUAAAACGAUAAUUAUAUUUUGGUGCCA